RNAcentral lists this long non-coding RNA (292 nucleotides) under Brassica napus (rape). Its description in RNAcentral is "long non-coding RNA (BNAP_LNC003420)". Lineage: Eukaryota; Viridiplantae; Streptophyta; Magnoliopsida; Brassicales; Brassicaceae. The record is from RNAcentral.
UUCGGUUUGAAUAUAAUAAAGUUCCGAUUUUGUUUAGUCGGAUUUUAGUUUUCUGAUGCUCCUAUGUGCUCUUUUAAAUCCCAAUGAUAUUGAAAUCAAACGUUUUUGCUGGUUAUGCCUUUCUUCUUCUAAACAAGCAUAAAUCUUGCUCUUGCUUAUAGCGGCCGUUGAUAUGGCUAUAGAGCUAAGUAGCUUGCCGGAAGUUUGAAUGGAUUGUUGAUUUUACUUCGAUUAAGUUGAGUUUGGUUUAAGUAAAGUUGAGGCUUUUCCGGUGAAAAGCGACCUAACAAAG